RNAcentral lists this ribosomal RNA (524 nucleotides) under uncultured bacterium. RNAcentral describes it as "bacterial SSU rRNA". It matches the Rfam family "Bacterial small subunit ribosomal RNA", at positions 28 to 562 of the family's 1533-position model. The record is from RNAcentral.
GACGAACGCUGGCGGCGUGCUUAACACAUGCAAGUCGAACGAGGUCCAACCAGUGGCAACACUGGGGAAGACCUAGUGGCGAACGGGUGAGUAACACGUGAGGAACCUGCCCCGAAGACCGGGAUAACCCUCCGAAAGGAGAGCUAAUACCGGAUACCUCCACCGAGCCGCAUGACUCGGUGAAGAAAUGGAUUCCGCUUCGGGAGGGUCUCGCGGCCUAUCAGCUUGUUGGUGGGGUAACGGCCCACCAAGGCGUCGACGGGUAGCUGGUCUGAGAGGACGAUCAGCCACACUGGGACUGAGACACGGCCCAGACUCCUACGGGAGGCAGCAGUGGGGAAUCUUGCGCAAUGGGCGAAAGCCUGACGCAGCAACGCCGCGUGCGGGAUGAAGGCCCUCGGGUUGUAAACCGCUUUCAGCAGGGACGAAACUGACGGUACCUGCAGAAGAAGCCCCGGCCAACUACGUGCCAGCAGCCGCGGUAACACGUAGGGGGCAAGCGUUGUCCGGAUUUAUUGGGUACG